Molecule: long non-coding RNA, 2691 nt
Organism: Ostrea edulis (European flat oyster)
Lineage: Eukaryota; Metazoa; Mollusca; Bivalvia; Ostreida; Ostreidae
Exons: 3
Source: RefSeq, a predicted model, not a curated record
CUAAAUCAAUGGAGAGAGAGAGGGAGAGAGAGAUUUCUUUUCUUUUCUUUAUUUACAUGUAUAUCUGAACAUUGAUUACAAUUCAGAUACUGGAUUUGUGAGUUGAAAUUAAUCAAAUGAGAGUGGUAAAAAUUCACCUUUAUAUCGUAUAAUUUAUCCAGGUACGUUAUUCUGGUGUGUGGAAUGCUAAUUGAUACUAAGUUAGAAUAAUCUAAGCUGUAUACCAAAGUAGGUCUUCAUGGAGCUUUACGGUUCUAUGCAUCGCAAAUAGAGAUCGGGUUCAAUGCGUCGGGUGUGGGAUUCACUCAAUAUUAUAUGCUGAGCGCGAAAGUUGAUAUCAACAGACGCCAUGAUGUUAUACCGGUAAACAUCUUGAACAUGAAUCGAGAACAGGAGUUGAUGCAGAUAUUCUGAGGAGAAUCUUCCAAUCAUUGAAAUAUAUUUCAUGAUAGUCGUGAAGAUACAGAAGUUGUGAUGGUGUGUUGAUAGGCUGUCUUCAACUUGCCAUAUCUGAGAGUUCCAACAUGCAGGCCUGGAUUAAUGUUUUAUCACAACAAAUGGAUGGGACAGUAGAGUUGUUGCGGACAAUAUGUGAUUGUGAUGACCAAGUACUGAACAAGUGGAAGAUUAGAAGAAGGUCCAGAAUUCAAUCAUGUUUUUGAUUCUAAGGCGCAGACAGCAUGGAGAUAGUCCUAUUAUUCUCCCAUUCAUCUAUGAUGGAGAAACUUGUGUAAAUGUUUACAGUGUUCUCCCUAAUAAAGGCCCACAAGUCUUUAUUAAUUUAUCAGAAUAUAAAGUCCUUCACAGUACUCAGAAGUACUGACUUUAAAAUUCAUGUAGAUUGUCUCCAGAUUUUUCUGAGGAAAAGUGCAUAGUUCACAUGUGUGAAUUUUGAAUAUAUUUCAUUCUUGUCUGCAAAUGUUGCUGAAACCUGUUAUUGAUGCACAAUGCACAUAGUCAUGUUAUGCAAAUGAUAGACCUCCUUUUUAAUUACAUGUCCUUAAGAUCAUGUCAACUCCUUUGUCUUAAUUGUAUAUAUACAAUUCUAGCAUUUAUAGCAUCAUUUGUAUAGCACUUGCUAGUUUAAUAAGGAUUUUAUUUUUUAAAAACUUUCAUUUGACAUGAUUGAUCUAAAACGGCCAAAAUUCACAAAUCUAUUUAAAUCACAACCUGACCUUAGGCCAGAAAAGUGCCACAGUGGGUUGAUAUUUUUCUCUUUGAUCUUGAAAGAAAUUCUUUAUGCAGCAGUUUCCAAAUAAAAUGUACUCUCAUGGCCAGGGUGGGACUUCACCGAGAACUUUUUAACAUUGCACAAUGCAAUAUUUGUGGAUUAGAAGCUGUUGCAGUUUCUUUAAGUUUUCUCUCGCAUCUUGUUAUAAUUAUAUUUUAUAUUUUUGGUCGGGUUGCACAAUGUGCAAACAGUUUAUAAAAUGCUGAAUGACUGGUGGGCAAGCGACAAUAGCGUCCCUGUAAUAGUACCUACUUUGUGUAAUCAACUCCUUUCACACCUCUCACUUGAUGUUCCUCAAACUUUGUACAGUUGUUAGGGAUACAUCGAAGAUGUGCAAAUACCUUUUUGAAAGUGAUCAGACAUUUUUUGAAAAAUUUACAUGUAGUUAAACUUCCUCAUUUUUUAAGCAUUUCUUUAAUCGACAGUAUCUAUUUUGUGUAAUCAACUCCUCGUAUACCUCUAAUUUGACAUUCCUCAAACUGUGUACAGUUGUUAUGAAUACAUUGAAGAUGUGCAUAUGUGUUUUUGAAAGUGAUCAGACAUUUUAAAAAAAAAAAUGUACAUGUAGUUGAACUUAAGUCAUUUUAAAGCAUUUCUUGAAUAGAUGGUAACUAUUUUGUGUAAUCAAAUCCUCAUGCACCUCUAACUUGACAUUCCUUAAAAUUUGUACAGUUGUUAUGAACACAUUGAAGAUGUGCAUGUGUCAUUUUGAAAAUGAUUAGACUUUUUUUUUUUUUUUUAUUAUGUGUAGUUGAACUUGUUAUUUUUUUAUGCAUUUCUUGAAUAGAUGGUACCUAUUUUGUGUGAUCAACUCGUGCACAUCUAAAUUGAUAUUCCUCAAACUUUGUACAGUAGUUAUGGACACAUUGAAGAUGUGCAUGUGUCUUUUUGAAAGUGAUCAGACUUUUUUCAAAAAAAUUACAUUUAGUUGAACUUUGUCAUUUUUAUAAAGCAUUUCCUGAAUAGUUGGUACCUAUUUUUUGUAAUCAACUCCUCUUACAGCAUUUAUUUGACAUUCUUCAGACCUUGAACAGCUGUUAUGGAAGCAUUGUAAAUGUGCAUGUGUCUUUUCGGAAGUGAUCAGGCAUUCUUUGAAAAAUUUACAUGUGCAUGGUGAAGUUGAACUUAGUCAUUUUUGAAGCAUGGUACUUUAUGUAACCAACUCAUCUUUUACUUAACAUUUUCCAAACCCUGUACAUUAUAGAUGUUAUAAAAACAUUGAAGAUUUACAUCUAACAUUUUAAAAAUGUUUCUCUCUUCUUUUUUUUGUUGUUGAAAAAUUCUACCUUUAAUUUGUCAUUUUUCCAGUAUGUUUCUACUGUUGUUCCUAUGAUAGAUAACAUAUUUUACAAGAACCUGGUCAUUUCUGUUUUUGAAUCUCUCUUUUUUUUAAUUAGUAUUUUUGAAUAUGUUAAUUACUUGAUAUGUCAUUGUUCUUGAAAUUAUAUUAAUUGAAUUAU